Molecule: ribosomal RNA, 494 nt
Filed under: uncultured bacterium
Lineage: Bacteria
Description: bacterial SSU rRNA
Rfam family: Bacterial small subunit ribosomal RNA
Source: RNAcentral
GAUGAACGCUAGCUACAGGCUUAACACAUGCAAGUCGAAGGGAAACGACAUCGAAAGCUUGCUUUUGAUGGGCGUCGACCGGCGCACGGGUGAGUAACGCGUAUCCAACCUGCCCACCACUUGGGGGAUAACCUUGCGAAAGUAAGACUAAUACCCGAUGAUAUCUCUAGACGACAUCUGAAAGGGAUUAAAGAUUUAUCGGUGAUGGAUGGGGAUGCGUCUGAUUAGCUUGUUGGCGGGGUAACGGCCCACCAAGGCAACGAUCAGUAGGGGUUCUGAGAGGAAGGUCCCCCCACAUUGGAACUGAGACACGGUCCAAACUCCUACGGGAGGCAGCAGUGAGGAAUAUUGGUCAAUGGGCGAGAGCCUGAACCAGCCAAGUAGCGUGCAGGAAGACGGCCCUAUGGGUUGUAAACUGCUUUUAUAAGGGAAUAAAGUGAGUCUCGUGAGACUUUUUGCAUGUACCUUAUGAAUAAGGACCGGCUAAUUCCGUG